Molecule: ribosomal RNA, 24 nt
Filed under: Bipolaris heveae
Lineage: Eukaryota; Fungi; Ascomycota; Dothideomycetes; Pleosporales; Pleosporaceae
Description: partial 18S ribosomal RNA
Source: RNAcentral
UUUUCCCUUAGGGCAUGCGGAGGG